UCCCUGGUGGCUCAGAGGUUAAAGCGUCUGCCUAUAAUGCGGGAGACCUGGGUUCAAUCCCCGGUUCAGGAA
RNAcentral lists this transfer RNA (72 nucleotides) under Bos taurus (domestic cattle). It matches the Rfam family "tRNA". From Rfam's summary of the family: Transfer RNA (tRNA) molecules are approximately 80 nucleotides in length. Their secondary structure includes four short double-helical elements and three loops (D, anti-codon, and T loops). The record is from Rfam by way of RNAcentral. RNAcentral also lists the same sequence under 1 other name. Lineage: Eukaryota; Metazoa; Chordata; Mammalia; Artiodactyla; Bovidae.